CUGAGGGUUGAACAGGCUGCUCUGUUUCCCAGGAAACCACUCUGAGUCUUGAAGACUUAUUAAGCACUCCACAAACUUGAGGGAGUGUUUUCAUACUGAUGCAGCCAGAGCAAGAUCCCCAGGGAGGUAGUGAGCUCUCCGUCCCUGCAGGUGUACAAGCUGAAGCCAAGUGAAGAAUUCGAAGAGGAUGUUGCAAGAGAAAUUCCAGCAUCAGGAAAUAUGAACGAACUCCCCUCCCCCCUCCAAACAAACAAAUGGCAGUAGUUCUGAGCCAAGCAAACAGUUCUCAGGUUCCCCAAUCUGCUGAGCUGCCAUGGCAGCUUCAGGCCUAUGCUUGGACCAAGCUCAGAAAGGCGCCUAUACCAUUGUUCUUCGGCCUCAUAAUGGACAGCUACCAGAAUGGUCUACAUGAACAAAUUCAAGGAUCUAGAAGAAUGAAGUAUGGGUCUUGCCCUAAACCCACCUGUUGUGAAACGUCCCAGGUCCUGAGAAUCCGUGCUACAGACUUUGAGCAAACAUCUGGCUUAGCCUAUGGUUCCCAUCGUGCCACCCUUCCUGUGCUGCCUAGACAGGUCCUGAGGGACAGGAUGUGAAAUUCCCAGUGUUGUCAGGACAGGAAGUGAUCUUGAAGAAAGCCUGCUGUCUGUGAUGCAAGCAGAUGCCCUGGAAGCUGGUUGAUAAAGGUUUGACAAGGCUAACAUGGCCAGAAUGAAAGCAGACCCAAGGCUAUUCUGGACCCGUGCUGGUAAAGGACUCCUGUGGCUGUGAUCAAUCCAGGAUGGUCUCCUAAGACCUGCCCAGGGUAGGAGCAGAGUUCUCCCCUCAGUCUUUGACGAAAACUGAAAUGCAGCAAGCAAGCAUGUUGAGUGGGGAAAUUGUCUGAAACAGACAUGCUUGUGUGAAGAUGCAGCACUGUGGUGUCUGAAGGAGGGCUAAGUCAUUUUUCUGGACCUCAGUUUCCUCUUCUAUAAGAUGUGGCUCACAGAAGUGACUAUUGUACUUACUCUGUUGUACUUACUUAUGGUAAGGAGGCAAUUAAAUGAUACUCUUUGAUACCAACAAA
This is a long non-coding RNA of Mesocricetus auratus (golden hamster), 1063 nucleotides long. RefSeq lists it as uncharacterized. Lineage: Eukaryota; Metazoa; Chordata; Mammalia; Rodentia; Cricetidae. The record is from RefSeq and is a predicted model, not a curated record. The transcript has 3 exons.